This 88-nucleotide transfer RNA is filed under the name Pandoraea pulmonicola. RNAcentral's name for it is "tRNA-Ser". It matches the Rfam family "tRNA". From Rfam's summary of the family: Transfer RNA (tRNA) molecules are approximately 80 nucleotides in length. Their secondary structure includes four short double-helical elements and three loops (D, anti-codon, and T loops). The record is from RNAcentral. Lineage: Bacteria; Pseudomonadati; Pseudomonadota; Betaproteobacteria; Burkholderiales; Burkholderiaceae.
GGAAGUGUGGUCGAGCGGUUUAAGGCACCGGUCAUGAAAGCCGGCGCUGGGCGACUCUCAGAGAGUUGGAAUCUCACCACUUUCUCCA